GAACGCACCUUGCGCCCUUUGGCUAUUCCGAAGGGCAUGCCUGUUUGAGUAUCAUGAACACCUCAACUCUCAUGGCCUGCCAUGAUGAGCUUGGACUUUGGGGGUCUUGCUGGCCUGUGGUUGGCUCCUCUCAAAUGAAUCAGCUUGCCAGUUUUUGGUGGGCAUCACAGGUGUGAUAACUAUCUACGCUUGUGGUUUUCCACCAGGGUAACCUUCAGCAGUGGAGGUUCACUGGAGCUUACAAAUGUCUCUCCUCUGUGAGGACAGCCCUUUGAAUGUUUGAUCUCAAAUCAGGUAGGACUACCCGCUGAACUUAAG
RNAcentral lists this unclassified non-coding RNA (318 nucleotides) under uncultured Tomentella. RNAcentral's name for it is "sequence contains 5.8S rRNA gene". The record is from RNAcentral. Lineage: Eukaryota; Fungi; Basidiomycota; Agaricomycetes; Thelephorales; Thelephoraceae.